RNAcentral lists this non-coding RNA (26 nucleotides) under Cricetulus griseus (Chinese hamster). Lineage: Eukaryota; Metazoa; Chordata; Mammalia; Rodentia; Cricetidae. The record is from RNAcentral.
UGGGCUGGAGAGAUGGCUGAGAGGUU